This 486-nucleotide ribosomal RNA is filed under the name uncultured bacterium. Its description in RNAcentral is "partial 16S ribosomal RNA". It matches the Rfam family "Bacterial small subunit ribosomal RNA", at positions 30 to 507 of the family's 1533-position model. The record is from RNAcentral.
AUUGAACGCUGGCGGCAUGCCUUACACAUGCAAGUCGAACGGCAGCACGGGUGCUUGCACCUGGUGGCGAGUGGCGAACGGGUGAGUAAUACAUCGGAACAUGUCCUGUAGUGGGGGAUAGCCCGGCGAAAGCCGGAUUAAUACCGCAUACGAUCCACGGAUGAAAGCGGGGGACCUUCGGGCCUCGCGCUAUAGGGUUGGCCGAUGGCUGAUUAGCUAGUUGGUGGGGUAAAGGCCUACCAAGGCGACGAUCAGUAGCUGGUCUGAGAGGACGACCAGCCACACUGGGACUGAGACACGGCCCAGACUCCUACGGGAGGCAGCAGUGGGGAAUUUUGAACAAUGGGCGAAAGCCUGAUCCAGCAAUGCCGCGUGUGUGAAGAAGGCCUUCGGGUUGUAAAGCACUUUUGUCCGGAAAGAAAUCCUUGACUCUAAUACAGUCGGGGGAUGACGGUACCGGAAGAAUAAGCACCGGCUAACUACGUG